Maylandia zebra (zebra mbuna) is the source of this 119-nucleotide non-coding RNA. The record is from RefSeq and is a predicted model, not a curated record. NCBI's taxonomy places the organism in Eukaryota, Metazoa, Chordata, Actinopteri, Cichliformes, Cichlidae.
CUCUGUGUGGGGAACAUGAGAGCCAGACCAAAGUUCAGAGGAACCAGCCUGGACCUCCACCCAGAAGUGUGUCCUCUAAGAGCAAACGGGUGAAGCAUUUCUUUCGUAAUUUAGGGCGA